GUUAGCUCAGCUGGUAGAGCAACUGACUCUUAAUCAGUGGGUCGGGGGUUCGAAUCCCUUACG
Molecule: transfer RNA, 63 nt
Filed under: Candidatus Ureaplasma intestinipullorum
Lineage: Bacteria; Bacillati; Mycoplasmatota; Mycoplasmoidales; Mycoplasmoidaceae
Rfam family: tRNA
About the family: Transfer RNA (tRNA) molecules are approximately 80 nucleotides in length. Their secondary structure includes four short double-helical elements and three loops (D, anti-codon, and T loops).
Source: RNAcentral